UCUGUUGAGUUUUUGGCUAAAGCCAAUAAAAAGAAAAAUAAGUUAACAAAGAUGUCUCUUACAAAAUUCCUAUUAUACAUCUAUUUAUAAAAAAGAAUGACACAAAGAAAAGACCUUCAAAUUGCUAAAGCUUUCCAAUGUGUAUUGCUGCCACUGCCAGGUCUUUUUUUUUUUUUUGUCUAAGAUAAGAACGUUUGUUUGGUUUGUUUUGUUUUUUUUGAGAACUCUUUGUUUCCAUAUGUUUAGUUUCAUUAAUUUUUGUUCUUUGAAAUAUUAUAUUAUAUAAUUUAUAUUUAGUUUCCUAUAUAAUCUCAAAGAAGUUUGGUUCUGUCAUGAUUAAUGAUUACAUCUACUUCCUUCUAGAACACUAACGGUUUUGGAUUUUUUUUUUUAUAUAUAAAAAAAUGUAAAUAUAUAGACUAAAAAAUCAUAUUUUUGCGCCCCCCACAGUUUUGGGCCUUGGUAGCCCUGGGCCAAGGCCGACUCUGAUGAUUCACCCCAAUGACCCAUCAUUGUAAUUAUAAAAUAUUAGUGAAUAGUGUAAUCCAUAUGCCUAUAAAUACAAAGCAUCAAGUAUGAAUGAAAUAUAAUAGAAGAGAAGAAGGUCACGGUUAAGCUCUUGAGAAUUGUUGUUCUACAAUUAUUUUCUAUUCCUCUAAAUUCUCUUCACAAUCCCCUAGUUUUAUAAUAUGUGUUUACACCAUAAUGAACCGAGCAGACCCAGCAUCAAAGCGACUAGCACCAAGGCAGCCACGCCUUCUCCCAUGCCGAAGGAAGACACACUUCCGAGGUGCCAGACACCUGCCGAAGCUCUCAGCUGCCAAACCUAAUCUCCAGGACACGUGUCGCCACCACAACGGCUUGCACAAAGUCCCACAUUGGAACUUUGUGCAAAGCUCCCACUUUCACUUCCCUAUAAAUAGGGAACAGUACCAAGGUACGAAAAAACGACUACUCUCCCACUUUUACUGUUACUCUGCCAGAAUUACUACUUGUAACUGACUUAGGCAUCGGAGAGCCUUCGGCCGGCACCACACCGGUGUCCGAAGCUUAACGAUUGCUUCUCCUCUUUUUACCUUCUACAGGUCUCUCCCCAACCCAUUUCACCAAGGGCCUCAGCCCUCUUCUCUGCUGAAGACUCAGCACAUCUAAUCACUAAGUUGGACUCAAUAUUGGCCGGGCCAUUUUGAGCAUCAACAGUUUGGCGCCGUCUGUGGGAACUCGACACUUGAAUCCCCUCUUUCUCUAUCAGCCCAGCUGGCUCCUUCACCCCUCAGGCCCCGUCGCCUCUUCUUCACCCCACAUUCUGCUAUGCCGACCGAGGAUAGCCGCGACACCCAGCACCAUACCCCCCGCGAUGGUACUUCUAG
Molecule: long non-coding RNA, 1370 nt
Filed under: Prunus persica (peach)
Lineage: Eukaryota; Viridiplantae; Streptophyta; Magnoliopsida; Rosales; Rosaceae
Description: long non-coding RNA (PPER_LNC001705)
Source: RNAcentral